Long non-coding RNA from Oncorhynchus keta (chum salmon), 999 nucleotides. RefSeq lists it as uncharacterized. Lineage: Eukaryota; Metazoa; Chordata; Actinopteri; Salmoniformes; Salmonidae. The record is from RefSeq and is a predicted model, not a curated record. The transcript has 6 exons.
GAAGAGGUAACGAACAGAGAGGUGGAGAGAGAGAGAAGAGGUAACGAACAGAGAGGUGGAGAGAGAGAAGAGGUAACGAACAGAGAGGUGGAGAGAGAGAGGAGAGGUAACGAACAGAGAGGUGGAGAGAGAGAGGAGAGGUAACGAACAGAGAGGUGGAGAGAGAGAAGAGGUAACGAACAGAGAGGUGGAGAGAGAGAGGAGAGGUAACGAACAGAGAGGUGGAGAGAGAGAGAGAAGAGGUAACGAACAGAGAGGUGGAGAGAGAGAGGAGAGGUAACGAACAGAGAGGUGGAGAGAGAGAGAGAAGAGGUAACGAACAGAGAGGUGGAGAGAGAGAGAGGAGAGGUAACGAACAGAGAGGUGGAGAGAGAGAGAAGAGGUAACGAACAGAGGUGGAGAGAGAGGAGAGGUAACGAACAGAGAGGUGGAGAGAGAGAGAAGAGGUAACGAACAGAGAGGUGGAGAGAGAGAGAAGAGGUAACGAACAGAGAGGUGGAGAGAGAGAGGAGAGGUAACGAACAGAGAGGUGGAGAGAGAGAGAAGAGGUAACGAACAGAGAGGUGGAGAGAGAGAGGAGAGGUAACGAACAGAGAGGUGGAGAGAGAGAGGAGAGGUAACGAACAGAGAGGUGGAGAGAGAGAGAAGAGGUAACGAACAGAGAGGUGGAGAGAGAGAGAGAAGAGGUAACGAACAGAGAGGUAGAGAGAGAAGAGGUAACGAACAGAGAGGUGGAGAGAGAGAGAAGAGGUAACGAACAGAGAGGUGGAGAGAGAGAGAGAACAGAGAGAUGGACAGAGAGAGAAGAGGUAACGAACAGAGAGGUGGAGAGAGAGAAGAGGUAACGAACAGAGAGGUGGAGAGAGAGAGAGAACAGAGAGAUGGACAGAGAGAGAAGAGGUAACGAACAGAGAGGUGGAGAGAGAGAGAAGAGGUAACGAACAGAGAGGUGGAGAGAGAGAGAGAGAGAAGAGGUAACGAACAGAGAGGUGGGAGAGA